RNAcentral lists this ribosomal RNA (251 nucleotides) under uncultured bacterium. Its description in RNAcentral is "partial 16S ribosomal RNA". It matches the Rfam family "Bacterial small subunit ribosomal RNA", at positions 524 to 775 of the family's 1533-position model. The record is from RNAcentral.
UACGUAGGGAGCGAGCGUUGUCCGGAAUUACUGGGUGUAAAGGGAGCGUAGGCGGGAAUGCAAGUCAAGUGUUAAAUCUACCGGCUCAACUGGUAGCUGCGCUUGAAACUGCAAUUCUUGAGUGAAGUAGAGGCAGGCGGAAUUCCUAGUGUAGCGGUGAAAUGCGUAGAUAUUAGGAGGAACACCAGUGGCGAAGGCGGCCUGCUGGGCUUUAACUGACGCUGAGGCUCGAAAGCAUGGGUAGCAAACAG